Molecule: ribosomal RNA, 468 nt
Filed under: uncultured Allochromatium sp.
Lineage: Bacteria; Pseudomonadati; Pseudomonadota; Gammaproteobacteria; Chromatiales; Chromatiaceae
Description: bacterial SSU rRNA
Rfam family: Bacterial small subunit ribosomal RNA
Source: RNAcentral
ACCUACGGGGGGCAGCAGUGGGGAAUAUUGGACAAUGGGCGCAAGCCUGAUCCAGCAAUGCCGCGUGUGUGAAGAAGGCCUGCGGGUUGUAAAGCACUUUCAGUGGGGAAGAACAGGUUCGGGUCAAUACCCCGGAGCCCUGACGUUACCCACAGAAGAAGCACCGGCUAACUCCGUGCCAGCAGCCGCGGUAAUACGGAGGGUGCAAGCGUUAAUCGGGAUCACUGGGCGUAAAGCGCACGUAGGCGGCACGUUAAGUCAGAUGUGAAGCCCCUGGGCUCAACCUGGGAAUGGCAUUUGAUACUAGCGCGCUCGAGUCUGAUAGAGGGGGGUGGAAUUCCAGGUGUAGCGGUGAAAUGCGUAGAUAUCUGGAGGAACACCGGUGGCGAAGGCGGCCCCCUGGAUCAUGACUGACGCUGAGGUGCGAAAGCGUGGGUAGCAAACAGGAUUAGAUACCCUGGUAGUCGC